Molecule: non-coding RNA, 134 nt
Organism: Triticum urartu
Lineage: Eukaryota; Viridiplantae; Streptophyta; Magnoliopsida; Poales; Poaceae
Source: Rfam
AAAAUACUCCCUCCGUCCAAAAUUCUAAUCUUAGAUUCGUCUAGAUACGAAUGUAUCUAAUACUAAAACAUGACUUGAUACAUCCAUAUUUAGGCAAAUAUAAGACAAGAAUUUUAGGACAGAGGGAGUAAUUG